CACUCAAUAGAACCUUAGAAAUGCAAGGGGACGAUAUGGCCAUUACCUGAAUCCAUAGCACGUACAGCACAUCACUUUGAGUGGAGAAACGCCAAGCAACUUCAUCAUGCACACUGCUGGGGCUACUGAAUUGCAAAUCCUGAAGUGGACUGAAAUGUUAGAAAGCCUUUAUUUUGUUGGCUGAAAUGGUGCAUGGUGCUUCCUGAUAGCUGGAUUGUGGGGAUCCAACCCAGAGCAGGCGGCUGGCACGGGAGACACUCUGCUCUCUGCCUUCCCCAGGACAAACAGAAAGCUGUGCCACACAGCAGGCAUCCACACCUCCAGCUCACCUGCACGUCUCCCAGCAAGCUCCCAUCCAGCCCACAGACAGAGUAAUUGGCUGCAGUGUGAGAGGGAGGCGAGGUGUGUGGCGUGUGAAUUCAGCUUUCCCCUUCUCUUCCCCGAGAGUCUGCUGUUUAAUGCCACACAACACCACCAGCCCUCAAAAGGUGACCUUCAGAGCACAAGCUCGCAUGUUCUGUGAAAUGCUGACAUCCCUUGUGAGUGCUCAAGGGAAGAGAGGAGUGAGCCCAGAGUUUGC
Alosa sapidissima (American shad) is the source of this 580-nucleotide long non-coding RNA. RefSeq lists it as uncharacterized. Lineage: Eukaryota; Metazoa; Chordata; Actinopteri; Clupeiformes; Clupeidae. The transcript has 3 exons. The record is from RefSeq and is a predicted model, not a curated record.